This 445-nucleotide ribosomal RNA is filed under the name uncultured bacterium. RNAcentral describes it as "bacterial SSU rRNA". It matches the Rfam family "Bacterial small subunit ribosomal RNA", at positions 354 to 796 of the family's 1533-position model. The record is from RNAcentral.
GUGAGGAAUAUUGGUCAAUGGGCGCAAGCCUGAACCAGCCAUGCCGCGUGCAGGAAGACGGUCCUAUGGAUUGUAAACUGCUUUUAUUUGGGAAUAAACUCCGGUACGUGUACCGGCCUGAAGGUACCAAAUGAAUAAGCACCGGCUAACUCCGUGCCAGCAGCCGCGGUAAUACGGAGGGUGCAAGCGUUAUCCGGAAUCAUUGGGUUUAAAGGGUCCGCAGGCGGUCUUAUAAGUCAGUGGUGAAAGCCUACAGCUCAACUGUAGAACUGCCAUUGAUACUGUAGGACUUGAAUUCGAUCGAAGUGGGCGGAAUGUGACAUGUAGCGGUGAAAUGCUUAGAUAUGUCACAGAACACCGAUAGCGAAGGCAGCUCACUAGGUCUGGAUUGACGCUCAGGGACGAAAGCGUGGGGAGCAAACAGGAUUAGAUACCCCGGUAGUCC